GACGAACGCUGGCGGCGUGCUUAACACAUGCAAGUCGAACGGAAAGGCCCUGCUUUUGUGGGGUUCUCGAUUGGCGAACGGGUGAGUAACACGUGAGUAACCUGCCCUUGACUUUGGGAUAACUUCAGGAAACUGCGGCUAAUACCCGAUAUGAGCUCCUGCUGCAUGGUGGUGGUUGGAAAGUUUCGGCGGUUGGGUAUGGAGUCGCUGCUUAUCAGCUUGUUUGUGGGGUUGUGGCUUUCCAAGGCUUUGACGGGUAGCCGACCUGAGAGGGUGACCGGCGACAAUGGGACUGAGGGACGGACCAGAAGGCAACGGGAGGCAGCAGUGGGAAAUAUUGCAGAAUGGGCGGAAGCGAGAUGAAGAAAGGCGGGGUGCGGGAUGACGGCCUUCGGGUUGAAAACAGAUUUGGAAUGUGACGAAGCGUGAGUGACGGUAAUGGGUAAAGAAGCAACGGCUAACUACGUG
RNAcentral lists this ribosomal RNA (468 nucleotides) under uncultured bacterium. Its description in RNAcentral is "partial 16S ribosomal RNA". It matches the Rfam family "Bacterial small subunit ribosomal RNA", at positions 28 to 507 of the family's 1533-position model. The record is from RNAcentral.